RNAcentral lists this microRNA (21 nucleotides) under Mus musculus (house mouse). Its description in RNAcentral is "mmu-miR-701-5p". Its record names the gene mmu-miR-701-5p. The record is from miRBase by way of RNAcentral. Lineage: Eukaryota; Metazoa; Chordata; Mammalia; Rodentia; Muridae.
UUAGCCGCUGAAAUAGAUGGA